This 3110-nucleotide long non-coding RNA is filed under the name Prunus dulcis (almond). RNAcentral's name for it is "sRNA ncRNA". The stretch from base 851 to 967 matches the Rfam family "mir-172 microRNA precursor family". Lineage: Eukaryota; Viridiplantae; Streptophyta; Magnoliopsida; Rosales; Rosaceae. The record is from RNAcentral.
UGAGUUUCCUAACUCUCAUCUCUUUCAAGCACACAUACAAAGUCAGGCCUCUGUUUCUUUCUCUGUUAUAUUGCUUUCUAAACUGUUUCUUUCUCUGUUAUAUUGCUUUCUAUUUUAUUUGUUUUCUCUCUCUAAUCCUAAUUAACAUUUGUUGAUUAUCUCUAAUCAAUUUUUUUUCUUCCUCAUUUUUUCUUUCAAACACUGGAAUACCGACUGGAAUUUUGUCUCUGGAUAUGAUCGUUUCUGUGGGAAUCUGAAUUUGGUUAUCGUUUCUGUGGGAAUCUGAAUUUGGUUUUUUUUCUUUCAUUUUCAAAUUGUGUUAUUUGUCCGAAUCGAUCGAUCCUUUCGGAGAAACCUGAGCUGGAUAUCAAAAUCUGUGAAUUGUGAACAAAAUAUAUGUAACCUUUAUCAUUAUUAUUUUUCUCAAAUAUUCUUUGAGAUUUUUUAUUAUUAUAGAUUAGGUAGUACCUUAAAAAAAUAAUAAUAAUAAUAAUAGGGUUUUGUUUUGUUUUCUUCUUGGGUCUAGUUUCAACACGUUAGAUUCUUCUUGGGGUACCCCUCUUUACGUUUUGGCCACUGGCAGUAGGCCACGUAAGCUUAUUCCUCGUGGACUUGGUGCUAUUUAAUUUGUACACGAUGAAACGAAAUUCUCCAAACUAUUCCCUUCACUGUGUUCUUCUUUGAAUUUCCUUAGUCUUCUGGUUCUUUUUAAAAAAAAAUAUAUAUAUAUAUAAAUAGUUUAUGUAUCAUUUUCUUGUUAGAUUACCUCUUCAAAAUCCACAAACACUCGGAUCUCGAUCGGUACAUGACUCGUAUAUAUGCUUUGAUGAUAUAAAAAGAUUGGCAGUCGUUGUUUGCGGGCGUAGCAUCAUCAAGAUUCACGCACAUGCAAUUAACUUGAAAGUUUCUCUCUUUGCCAAAGUUUCUUUCAAAGUGAGAAUCUUGAUGAUGCUGCAUCGGCAAUAAACCACUAUACAAACGAGAAGACUCUUUCUCUCUCUCUCUCUCUCUCACAGUCUCACCAGUCUUUCACAGUCUCACCAGUCGCCAAGGCAACUUUUUUCACUUCAUUGAUUUCCUGCUUUCUAGUGUUAGGGGAGGGGUUCUUUUUAAAUUUGUUGCUUCCUAUUUUUAGGUGUUAUUUUCCUUCAAUAAUUAAGGCAGCUCAUAUCAUUGGAGAAGGGUGUGUAUGUGUUGUUAUAUAUAUGGCUCCUCAUUAACUCUGCUCUGCUGACUUUUGACAGAUCUGUGAUUAUUCUUCUGAGAAAAGCUGAGUGAUUGAGUCUGUUUAUGGAGAGAGAGAGAGAGAGAGACUUGAGCCUCGAUGAUGCUGCAAAGCCUUUUAAAGCAUUUUGAAAAGGUGAAUAUCUUCAAACCAUUUAUAAAUAUUUCACAUGAAGGUAAAUUUUGUUGGAACCAUUUUUUUUGGGUCGGUUUUCAGUUCUAGUUCAGAUCCACACAUGAACUGUCCGGAUCGUUUGGUACAGAAUCCAAAAACUAUGUUUUUUUCAUUUCAAAUAAGGAGUGCAUUUUGAUUUUAACAACAAUAUUGGCUCUUUGGUAUAUAGUUUCUAAUUAAUAAAGAAUAAAAUAACUCAGAAACAACCCGGUUUCGGAAGAUGCAAAGGUAUUGUUUUCAAAAUUGAAGAAGCUCACUACUAGAAAAUGCCUCCCCUUUCAUAAAAGACGGAUGCAGAAAGGUGAGAAAGAAACAGUAAGAUCAGUACGUAGGUUAUCCAUGGGAUGUGCGGGAAAAGAAACAGUACUAAUGAUCUGGUGUAAGAUAUGCAGCUGAAGCUGAGAAAGAAGUAAAUCUUAAUUAGGGUGUGGGGGGCGGCUAGCUGUUUGAUGCCUGUUUGAUUGAAAAACUUAAUAAUUGUUUGAUGAACAAUGUUCCAAGUGGUUUCGAUCUCUAGCUGUGGAAUCAGUACUUCAUUGAAAAUGGGAACUUCGAUAUGUAAAAUCGUGGUGGGAACUUGUCACAAAAUGUCACAUUGUGACUGCCUGCCAUUCUUGUCCUUGUCUCUACACUUUGUUUGUGCGGACCAAACCAAGAGAGUGAUCAUCUCUCCCAACUUGGACCCUUCGACAUGUAACCUCACACUCUCCCUUUCAUCUCAUCACUCCUUUCAAAGACAUAAUAUUAUUCACUCCACCUCUUCAAUAAUACUUCACACGUGAUAAUUCAGACCAUGGAGAUCUGUGUGCCUCUAUCACUAUCCAUGCCUUUUUGAUUCACAUAUGCAUCCAUUAUUUUUUUCGGUAAUUAUGAGGAAGAACAUAACUCGUGACCUCUUAUCCGUUAAGGUAAACUUUGUGUACUUACAAUCGCUCUAAACCCCAUUUGUAGUUUAAAUUUGAGUGUCGUGAAGCUUUUGAACAUAGGAUUUAUCUGAUUAUACAUAAUGCUAGGACCACUGGUUUCUUAAUAUUUACUCCUGAGGUAGGAGGGCAUGAUUUCCUGUUUAUUAGAUAACUUCCAUAAGACUAGAUGUUUUCUAAUAUGGCACUGCUCUUAGUCGUCUGAACGCUAAACAGUAUUCAAAUUGUCGAGGUCCAAAAAUUAUUUUUACUUAUCAAAUUAAUUUGCCUCUCUUUUCGUUUUGGAGAGGUUUUAAAAAUGCAUCUCCGUACUUUACUACUUUAGAAUCGUCUCAUAAUUUAUAGAUAUGUAGUUUGAAUUUAGUUUUCCAUAUAGUUGCAAUCGUACUUUGAAUUUAUCUUCCUGACUCUAGUAUUUUACAGAGGCUGUUUGGUGUGGACGUCUCUGCACCGGAUAUUGUAAGAGGACGGUCGAUUGGCAGUACAUAGUUCUCUUAUAGUUCUGUGCAGACGUUCACAUGUAAACAGUUUUACACGUAGAAUAUUUUGAAAACCCUUCAUACAUUCGUUACAGAUACAAAUAUAUGAACAGAUACGUGCCGUAUAUGCAUCCACACCAAUAAAAUAUUAUAUUUUUCCUUACGAUUGGAUACACAAAAAUACUUCUGUAUGGACUCACAUUUGUACGACUAGUGAGAUGCAUGAGAACUAGUGAGAUGCAGCUCUAGAGAAAUUUCUGGACAAAAUUCUGAGUGGAUCUCUUGAUUUAAUUUUCGUUUGGAAAUCAA